CCUACGGGAGGCAGCAGUAGGGAAUCUUUCACAAUGGGCGAAAGCCUGAUGGAGCAACGCCGCGUGCAGGAUGAAGGCCUUCGGGUUGUAAACUGCUUUUAUAAGCGAGAAAUAUGAUGGUAACUUAUGAAUAGGGAUCGGCUAACUACGUGCCAGCAGCCGCGGUCAUACGUAGGAUCCGAGCAUUAUCCGGAGUGACUGGGUGUAAAGAGUUGCGUAGGUGGCAUAAUAAGUAGCUAGUGAAAUCUGGUGGCUCAACCAUUCAGACUAUUAGCUAAACUGUUAAGCUCGAGACCGUUAGGGGUAACUGGAAUUUCUAGUGUAGGAGUGAAAUCCGUAGAUAUUAGAAGGAACACCAAUAGCGUAGGCAGGUUGCUGGGACGGUUCUGACACUAAGGCACGAAAGCGUAGGGAGCAAACGGGAUUAGAUACCUCUGUAGUC
RNAcentral lists this ribosomal RNA (442 nucleotides) under uncultured bacterium. Its description in RNAcentral is "partial 16S ribosomal RNA". It matches the Rfam family "Bacterial small subunit ribosomal RNA", at positions 338 to 795 of the family's 1533-position model. The record is from RNAcentral.